This 301-nucleotide ribosomal RNA is filed under the name uncultured bacterium. RNAcentral's name for it is "partial 16S ribosomal RNA". It matches the Rfam family "Bacterial small subunit ribosomal RNA", at positions 509 to 807 of the family's 1533-position model. The record is from RNAcentral.
CAGUAGCCGCGGGAAUACGUAGGUGGCAAGCGCUGUCCGGAAUUAUUGGGCGUAAAGGGCUCGCAGGCGGUUUCUUAAGUCUGAUGUGAAAGCCCCCGGCUCAACCGGGGAGGGUCAUUGGAAACUGGGAAACUUGAGUGCAGAAGAGGAGAGUGGAAUUCCACGUGUAGCGGUGAAAUGCGUAGAGAUGUGGAGGAACACCAGUGGCGAAGGCGACUCUCUGGUCUGUAACUGACGCUGAGGAGCGAAAGCGUGGGGAGCGAACAGGAUUAGAUACCCGUGUAGUCCCUGUCUCUUAUAC